UCUCCGUAGGUGAACCUGCGGAAGGAUCAUUAUUGUAUAACCGAGGUGCGAGGGCUGUCGCUGACCCGAAAGGUCGUGCACGCCCGAGUGCCCUCACACACAUCCAUCUCACCCCUAUGUGCACCACCGCGUGGGUCCCCCUUUGGCUUGUUCGGAGGGGGGCUUACGUUUUCACACAAACUUUGUAUGCAGUGUAGAAUGUAUUUUUUGUUUUUGCGAUCACGCAAUCAAUACAACUUUCAACAACGGAUCUCUUGGCUCCC
Molecule: unclassified non-coding RNA, 263 nt
Filed under: plant metagenome
Description: partial contains small subunit ribosomal RNA, internal transcribed spacer 1, and 5.8S ribosomal RNA
Source: RNAcentral